This 426-nucleotide ribosomal RNA is filed under the name uncultured Pajaroellobacter sp. RNAcentral's name for it is "bacterial SSU rRNA". It matches the Rfam family "Bacterial small subunit ribosomal RNA", at positions 355 to 774 of the family's 1533-position model. Lineage: Bacteria; Pseudomonadati; Myxococcota; Polyangiales; Polyangiaceae. The record is from RNAcentral.
UGGGGAAUCUUGCGCAAUGGGCGAAAGCCUGACGCAGCGACGCCGCGUGAGUGAUGAAGGCCUUCGGGUUGUAAAGCUCUGUGGGGAGAGAAGAAUAAGUGCGGGCUAAUACUCCGCAUGAUGACGGUAUCUCCUUAGCAAGCACCGGCUAACUCUGUGCCAGCAGCCGCGGUAAGACAGAGGGUGCAAACGUUGUUCGGAAUUACUGGGCGUAAAGCGAGUGUAGGCGGUUUGGUAAGUCGGAUGUGAAAGCCCCGGGCUCAACCCGGGAAGUGCACUCGAUACUGCCAAGCUAGAGUAUCGGAGAGGUUGGUGGAAUUCUCGGUGUAGAGGUGAAAUUCGUAGAUAUCGAGAGGAACACCGGUGGCGAAGGCGGCCAACUGGACGAAUACUGACGCUGAGACUCGAAAGCGUGGGGAGCAAACA